AGUGAACGCUGGCGGUAGGCCUAACACAUGCAAGUCGAACGGCAGCACAGUAAGAGCUUGCUCUUACGGGUGGCGAGUGGCGGACGGGUGAGGAAUACAUCGGAAUCUACUUUUUCGUGGGGGAUAACGUAGGGAAACUUACGCUAAUACCGCAUACGACCUACGGGUGAAAGCAGGGGAUCUUCGGACCUUGCGCGAUUGAAUGAGCCGAUGUCGGAUUAGCUAGUUGGCGGGGUAAAGGCCCACCAAGGCGACGAUCCGUAGCUGGUCUGAGAGGAUGAUCAGCCACACUGGAACUGAGACACGGUCCAGACUCCUACGGGAGGCAGCAGUGGGGAAUAUUGGACAAUGGGCGCAAGCCUGAGCCAGCCAUACCGCGUGGGUGAAGAAGGCCUUCGGGUUGUAAAGCCCUUUUGUUGGGAAAGAAAAGCAGCAGGUUAAUACCCCGCUGUUCUGACGGUACCCAAAGAAUAAGCACCGGCGAACUUCGU
RNAcentral lists this ribosomal RNA (491 nucleotides) under uncultured bacterium. Its description in RNAcentral is "partial 16S ribosomal RNA". It matches the Rfam family "Bacterial small subunit ribosomal RNA", at positions 29 to 506 of the family's 1533-position model. The record is from RNAcentral.